Bos indicus x Bos taurus (hybrid cattle) is the source of this 1087-nucleotide long non-coding RNA. NCBI's taxonomy places the organism in Eukaryota, Metazoa, Chordata, Mammalia, Artiodactyla, Bovidae. The record is from Ensembl.
AUUCAAUUCACAACCGGCCGCGCUUGCAGGUGUUGCCUUUUGAAACUGCCAUUCAGGCGGCCGCUGUUCACUUCUAGCUGCGCCGCGGGUUUUGUGGAAGCGCAAGAAUGGCGCUGAUUAUUCCCGUGCCCACGGGCUGCCCCCACCCCCGCCGGACGCGAGCCUUCCCUCCGCCAAAAGAGACGUUUAAUUAGUUCUGGGGCCGCCGACAGCCAGCGGGGCCGACAAAGCCCGGCUCCCCAGGUAACCCCGGGGUUCCUGCGGCCCCGGGAGGGGGCGCCCCGCGCCUGAGCACUGGCCUCUGGCCGUGCGCUCCCUCCCGCGCCGCCGCCGUCCGCCCACCUGCCUCCCGGGCCGGCUCUCCAGCUGGCCGAAGGCUCGCUCGCCGGACUUGAGUGGCCUUGGCCAGCGACCCCCGCGGAUCCCGGACGCGAGCAGUUUUCGGGCGCCUGCGAUGUCUUCUCGCCUCUCUGUCCCCAUUGCCAGCCAGGGAGAUGGAAACUUGGUUGGUCCUAACUGUCUUGCGAGGGGGUGUCCUCUCCAUGACAUGUCCUCUCCAUGACAUCCCCUCACCCCAUUUCGGGAAAAUAUCGGGACGAUGUUUUGAGGAAACACUAGAGACACUUUCCCCUUUAUCCACCUUUGCGUCUCAGCGCCGCGUGCGCUAAAAGGGCGCAAAGUUGCCCUGGGAGAUGACGAAUGGCUGCCUCAUCUCCACGGCCAGUGACCUUGGCAACAGCGCCUCCGGCGCCCGAGCUGGCCUCGAAUACGCAGGUCUGCGGACAGCCUCGGCCUGGGUCGCAUACUCUAGGUCACCAGAGCCACAGAUGGGCCUGAGGCCUCUCCCCAGCGCCAGAGUCACUUCCGAUCCAGAGGAAACCAAGGAAGACCUUACCCUCAGUAGGUAACCUCGUGGGCCCCUCUGCCCCUGCAAGACCCGGCAAGCAGAGAAUUGGCUUCUAUAAAGGAACACCUGGAAAUGCUUUUUCCCUUGGGGAGGAGAUUGUUAAUGGAGUUUACUACCUACCUAAGUCGGUCCUUAAGCCUUCACGGGGCCAAAAUUCUAAUAAAGAAAAAUAGUACCGCA